CCUACGGGGUGCAGCAGUGAGGAAUAUUGGUCAAUGGGCGGAAGCCUGAACCAGCCAAGCCGCGUGAGGGAAGAAGGUGCCAAGUAUUGUAAACUUCUUUUGUCAGGGAACAAAAUCAGGCACUAGCUCCCGAACGAGGGCACUUGAAGAAAAAGCAUCGGCAAACUCCGUUCCAGCAGCCGCGGUAAUACGGGGGAUGCGAGCGUUAUCCGGAUUUAUUGGGUUUAAAGGGUGCGUAGGGGGGCUGUAAAGGCAGCGGUAAAAGCCCGGGGCUCAACCCCGGCGAGCCGUUGAAACUGGCGGGCUGGAGGUGGCGAGAGGUAUGCGGAAUGCGCAGUGUAGCGGUGAAAUGCUUAGAUAUUGCGAAGAACUCCGAUUGCGAAGGCAGCAUACCGGCGGCGAACUGACGCUGAGGCACGAAAGCGUGGGUAUCGAACAGGAUUAGAUACCCGAGUAGUC
Molecule: ribosomal RNA, 459 nt
Filed under: uncultured bacterium
Lineage: Bacteria
Description: partial 16S ribosomal RNA
Rfam family: Bacterial small subunit ribosomal RNA
Source: RNAcentral